Molecule: ribosomal RNA, 497 nt
Filed under: uncultured bacterium
Lineage: Bacteria
Description: partial 16S ribosomal RNA
Rfam family: Bacterial small subunit ribosomal RNA
Source: RNAcentral
GAUGAACGCUGGCGGCGUGCCUAAUACAUGCAAGUCGAGCGAACGGACGCGAAGCUUGCUUCUCUGAUGUUAGCGGCGGACGGGUGAGUCACACGUGGAUCCCCUACCUAUAAGACUGGGAUCACUUCGGGAAACCGGAGCUAAUACCGGAUAAUAUUCUGAACCGCAUGGUUCAAUAGUGAAAGACGGUCUUGCUGUCACUUAUAGAUGGAUCUGGGCUGCAUUAGCUAGUUGGUAAGGUAACGGCUUACCAAGGCUACGAUGCAUAGCCGACCUGAGAGGGGGGUCGGCCGCACGAGAACGGGGACACGGUCCAGAGUCCUACGGGAGGCAGCAGUAGGGAAUCUGCCGCAGAGGGCGAAAGCCUGACGGAGCAACGCCGCGUGAGAGAUGAAGGCCUUCGGAUCGUAAAGCUCUGUUAUGAGGGGAGAACAGAUGUGGAAGUAACUGUGCACAGCGUGACGGUACCUAAUCAGAAAGCAACGGCUAACUACGUG